RNAcentral lists this non-coding RNA (28 nucleotides) under Mus musculus (house mouse). The record is from RNAcentral. Lineage: Eukaryota; Metazoa; Chordata; Mammalia; Rodentia; Muridae.
UGCACUUUUCUAUGCAGUCUUUGGAAAC